RNAcentral lists this ribosomal RNA (253 nucleotides) under uncultured bacterium. RNAcentral describes it as "partial 16S ribosomal RNA". It matches the Rfam family "Bacterial small subunit ribosomal RNA", at positions 524 to 776 of the family's 1533-position model. The record is from RNAcentral.
UACGUAGGGUGCGAGCGUUAAUCGGAAUUACUGGGCGUAAAGCGUGCGCAGGCGGUUUUGGAAGCCAGAUGUGAAAGCCCCGGGCUCAACCUGGGAACUGCAUUUGGGACUGCAAGGCUGGAGUACGGCAGAGGGAGGUGGAAUUCCACGUGUAGCAGUGAAAUGCGUAGAGAUGUGGAGGAACACCGAUGGCGAAGGCAGCCUCCUGGGCUAGUACUGACGCUCAUGCACGAAAGCGUGGGGAGCAAACAGG